GGAGAGGUCGCAUAGCCCGGUUGAGUGCGGUGGAUUGCUAAUCCAUUGAGGUGGGAUUUCCUGCCUCCGGGGGUUCAAAUCCUCCUCUCUCCG
RNAcentral lists this transfer RNA (93 nucleotides) under Candidatus Nealsonbacteria bacterium CG_4_10_14_0_2_um_filter_39_15. Its description in RNAcentral is "tRNA-Ser". It matches the Rfam family "tRNA". From Rfam's summary of the family: Transfer RNA (tRNA) molecules are approximately 80 nucleotides in length. Their secondary structure includes four short double-helical elements and three loops (D, anti-codon, and T loops). Further hydrogen bonds mediate the characteristic L-shaped molecular structure. tRNAs have two regions of fundamental functional importance: the anti-codon, which is responsible for specific mRNA codon recognition, and the 3' end, to which the tRNAs corresponding amino acid is attached (by aminoacyl-tRNA synthetases). tRNAs cope with the degeneracy of the genetic code in two manners: having more than one tRNA (with a specific anti-codon) for a particular amino acid; and 'wobble' base-pairing, i.e. permitting non-standard base-pairing at the 3rd anti-codon position. The record is from RNAcentral. Lineage: Bacteria; Candidatus Nealsoniibacteriota.